This 494-nucleotide ribosomal RNA is filed under the name uncultured bacterium. Its description in RNAcentral is "partial 16S ribosomal RNA". It matches the Rfam family "Bacterial small subunit ribosomal RNA", at positions 28 to 507 of the family's 1533-position model. The record is from RNAcentral.
GACGAACGCUGGCGGCGUGCUUAACACAUGCAAGUCGAACGGAAAGGCCUGCUUUCCCUUGUGGAUUGCGGGUACUCGAGUGGCGAACGGGUGAGUAACACGUGAGUGAUCUGCCCCCAACUUGGGUAUAAGCCUGGGAAACUGGGUCUAAUUCCCGAUAGGACUGCAGGGUGGUGCCUGUGGUGGAAAACGAUUUUCUAGUGGUUGGGGAUGAGCUCGCGGCCUAUCAGCUUGUUGGUGGGGUAAUGGCCUACCAAGGCGGCGACGGGUAGCCGGCCUGAGAGGGUGGGCGGCCACAUUGGGACUGAGAUACCGGCCAGGCACCUACGGGGGGCCGGCGUGGGGAAUAUUGGACAAUGGGGGGAAGGCUGAUGCCGCGACGCCGCGUGGGGGAUGACGGCCUUCGGGUUGUAAACUCCUUUCGACCGCGAGGAAGCCACCUGGUUGGAAGGGUGGUGACGGUAGUGGUAGAAGAAGCACCGGCUAACUACGUG